RNA transcript from Toxorhynchites rutilus septentrionalis, 17894 nucleotides. It is a transcript of the gene named potassium voltage-gated channel protein Shaw-like, with no coding region annotated. The record is from RefSeq and is a predicted model, not a curated record. The transcript is spliced from 10 exons. NCBI's taxonomy places the organism in Eukaryota, Metazoa, Arthropoda, Insecta, Diptera, Culicidae.
CGUCCGUUGCGUACGCCUGCGACCGCACCUGGUGGGAUCAGUGACAUAGUGACAAAGAAGACAGGAAGGACCAUUACCCACACACAGAGUGCAAACUUGUUUUUAGGGAAGGACCCAUUCCAUCAACCCGAAGGAGAAGCCGAACGCAGAAACUGACUGUGUGCCGAGUAGUGUUUUGCCCACACGUGACCGUUUGCUGGUACAUAUCUGAUAUUUGGUGUUUGCUUUGUGGUCGUCUUGAGAGGCUGAGUAAGGCUUCGAAAGGGGGUGGGAGUGGUUCGAAGCGAGAGGACGAGAGGCCAGUGCGAGAGAAGUCGAUAGCAGGACAUUCUCGUUGGCACUGCGGUGGAGUGAGGCGUGUAAAAUUGCCGGGUGGGUGCACAUAGAUAAGGGCAGUGAUAGUGAUAGUGACCCACUGUUGGGUGAUUUGUGUUGGCAGAGGAAAAGCUGCCGAAGGAAAAUUAUAGAUUUUCCCACAGUCAGUGCGGUGCGCGCGGUGUAAGAAAACUUUUCCUGUCUGAGGUUUCUAGACUUCACGCGUAGCUCGGAGUGGAAGGAGUGCGACGAUGUGUGAGCGGGGGGAGGUGAAAACCAAAUAAUUGCACUAAUCAUUUACAGUGUUGGUUGAUGGAGAGAAAGUUCCGAAGAAAGUCAAUAAAAGUAGAGUGAAAUGACCUACUGAAAUUAUUGAAGAGAAGCUUGUUCUCAGUGUCCCAUCUGCUGCUAAGUGAAGUAAUAAUUGCACAGUGGAUGGAAGCGAAAGUGAAAACUCUUGGUGGUGAGCCGUAAAUGGACGUGGCAUCCGCCUGAGGCCGGGUGGUGGCCAAGGAACCAAGUUAUUGCGUCGGUGAAGGUCGACAAUCAACGGCAUUUGAACUGCCCUCCCCCGACUUGAUUAGUGGGAGGGCCGACUGCUGGCGGCAGAAGAGAGCCUUCGGCGAACAUCAAUUGGAUUCGACAGAGGGAAAGUUUACACGAGUUAAACAACUGGCGGCAGGCUGUCAAGCGGCAGCGGCGAGAGAGCGGUGGUCGUCGUCAAUCUCGGCAGAAGCGCAAAUUGCAAUUGCCAUCGACACCCAUCCACCCCCACCCCCACCCACACGGGGCGCACAUGUUCGUUCGUUCGUUCGCCGCCGUUAAAUCUUCCGAGGUAAUGCACUUUCACCGCCGGUGACUUCCAAUCCAAUGGGGCCGUAACUCCGCCGCUAAUGAGGUUUGCUCGGUGGCCCGGAAAGAAGAACAAAAACCGAAAACUUCACGGAUGUUGACAACGCGCAUCGCACCAUGCGCGACUCGGGGUGCUGUGUUAAGUGAGGCUGCAAAAAGUGCUCUCGUUCCGGUUCCGCCCGGGAGGGAAGUUUUGUGAGCGGGAAAAAUCGAUACUAAGCGAAUUCAGCUCGAUCCCCCUUCUCCACCCUGCCGGAGGGGAUAAUAUGGAUAUCAGAAAUAAUUACGAGAAAGUGUGAAAAACGUGUCGAAUGCUUACUCGGGUAAAAAAGUUAGAUUCCAUCGUUAAAAUUUGAGCAGAAGUUACGUCGGCGUCUUCGUCGUUGCCGAUUUACUCUAAGCGAAAAGUGUGCAUUGUUUCUUCGGAGGGCCCAGAAAACGGAUUGUGGAAAGUUUUCGGCAAAAGGUAACAAGAAACAAUUUGAAGAAGAAAACUUUUCUUCGCGAGUCAGUUGUUUGCUGUGUUCUCCAUUUCGGGGGGUGGUGAGUGGAGAGUGAAGGUGACGUUUUUGUGUUGGAAUCAAAAGUCAUCCAUCGAUUUUUUGUGCUGUGUUUUUACGAUUUAACAGUGGAUGAACGAAGCAGCCAGUGUCAUCCGAAUAUAAGAGAUCAUGCUUCCGAUUCGAGGCCGCAGUCGUACAAGGAUAAGCAAUACGGGCAGAAACCGCAAAGUUCCUCGACUUCAUCGCUCCCAGAAUGUUAAUCAGGCCGGCAGGGAAAGAUGUUGUUGUUAUUCCUGCCCCGUUCGUGUCGGCGCCCCAUCAUCCGUCAGCCCCUGUGCCCAGGAGACGUGAGCUCGUGGUCCAUAAUUGCGAAGUGUGACCCUGCAGCAGUAGCAGUAGUAGCUGAAAUAGCAGCGGUAGAUGGCUCAGUGCGGAUGCUACGCCAUGAAAUGCGGUGAUGUCCGUCCCAACCGUGACAGGAGGACAGAACAAAUCAAUCACACCACAGCAGCAUCAGCCACAGCUCCAGCAGAAGCUCUCAAGUGAAUUCAAUUUCCCAAAAAGGCGAAAGACAAGCAAAAGAAUCUCGGUCGGCGUCAGCGGAGGCCUCGAAGCAACGAAAACCAAUCCGACCUCCCAGGAUGAUUAAUCACUUGGCGGCGCCGAGAUCUGGUUGACGGUGAAUAACUCUGAUUCUCUGCGCUUCCACUCGCGGAAGGCGGGAAAGAAGGUUAGGAGAUCCUGGGGUUCGGGUUAACCGUGUGAAACGAAAGACGUAAAAAGUGUGUCAUAAAAAUCUAAUCAACAAAAGCUCUCUCGAGAGAGAGGGUCAGCUAAACGAAAAGAUCACGUUCAACAGUCGGUAUAAUUCGAAGACGACAAAUAACACUUCCCCCACUCCAAACAGCGCCGCCAAAUACGUGUUCAAAUUCGGAACGCUGCUGGCGAAUAGCCGUCACCAUUUCAUUUCGAAACUGUAUGCCGCUGAAGCGAAAUCACGAAAGGACACUCGGAAGCGACGCUUGUGAGGCACCAUAACAAACAAGGGCGGGAACCCAGUUGUCAUUCACAUAAACCUCACACAAUCACACAAACAAGAACGACACAUCCAGCUGUAAGGCAACCAGAGCGGAAGAAGCCUAACGUUUUUUCCCUCGCAGGAAAUGAAUCUUAUGAACAUGGACUCGGAGAACCGAGUGGUUCUCAACGUUGGCGGCAUCCGUCACGAAACGUACAAGGCAACACUGAAGAAAAUCCCCGCGACGCGACUGUCCCGGCUAACGGAAGCCCUCGGAAAUUACGACCCGGUGCUGAACGAGUACUUUUUCGACAGGCACCCGGGGGUAUUUGCACAGGUGCUCAACUACUACCGGACUGGAAAGUUACAUUACCCGACGGACGUUUGCGGACCACUGUUCGAGGAGGAGUUGUCCUUCUGGGGUUUAGACUCAAACCAAGUAGAACCGUGUUGCUGGAUGACGUACACACAGCACCGGAACACGCAAGAAACAUUGGCUGUUUUAGAUAGGCUAGAUUUAGAUACGGAAAAGCCUACCGACGAAGAGGUGGCGAAAAAGUUCGGUUUCGAAGACGCUUACAAUAAGGGCAAGGUGAGCUGGUGGCAGCAUCUGAAGCCCCAGAUCUGGUCACUGUUCGACGAGCCGUACAGCUCCAACGCCGCUAAGAUAAUCGGCAUCAUAUCAGUUUUCUUCAUCUGUGUAUCGAUCAUAUCAUUCUGUCUGAAGACACACCCGGACAUGCGAGUGCCAUACAUCCGGAACAUCACAGUUAAGACGGCCAGUCAGAACACAUCCUGGGUGUUGGACAAGACGCAAACUAAUGCUCACGUUGCGUUCUUCUACAUCGAGUGUGUGUGCAAUGCUUGGUUCACUAUCGAAAUAAUGAUACGGUUCAUCUCGUCACCGAGCAAACUUAGAUUCAUCACGUCAUCUGUAAAUAUCAUCGACUACAUCGCCACGCUGAGUUUCUUCAUCGAUUUGAUACUGCAGCGUUUCGCGUCCCAUCUGGAGAAUGCCGACAUCUUGGAGUUCUUCUCGAUCAUCCGCAUCAUGAGAUUGUUCAAGCUGACGCGCCACUCGUCCGGGCUGAAGAUCCUCAUCCAAACGUUCCGAGCCUCGGCCAAAGAGUUGACGCUGCUGGUGUUUUUCUUAGUUUUAGGUAUCGUGAUAUUCGCCAGCCUGGUGUAUUACGCCGAGCGGAUACAAAUCAAUCCGCACAACGAUUUCAACAGCAUACCGCUGGGGUUGUGGUGGGCCCUGGUAACAAUGACCACCGUCGGGUACGGUGAUAUGACGCCAAAAACUUACAUCGGGAUGUUCGUGGGAGCGCUGUGUGCUCUGGCCGGUGUGCUGACGAUUGCCCUGCCGGUGCCCGUCAUCGUGAGCAACUUCACGAUGUACUACUCGCACACACAGGCCCGUGCCAAGCUGCCCAAGCGAAGACGUCGAGUCUGUCCGGUGGAGCUAUCGAGGCCGCCACGUUUGCCAGCAGGUCAAGCCGGGCCGGGAGCAUGUAUGAACACCGGUUCCGGAAAACUUCCGUCUUCCAACGCGCCCAGCACCGGAAGCAUGGAUCAAGCAAUCAGGCGCAUGAACGCCAAUCGCACCAUCUCCAAAGACGUGAUUCUGCCAAAGAUGGCAUGAUGGGGCGACAAACUUUAAGUAUCUACACUCGUAUACAUACAUUUCUUUGUGAGCGUGAGCAAAUGCUUUUUUAUUGUUGAUGCUGCUCUGUACCGCUGUUCCUCCACACCACCCCUUCCGCUAUAUUAUCGUUUAUGAUCUGCUCAGCCACCGCCGGUCCCAUCCUCCGGUCGAUGCGGGAUGUGUAAGGAUACCGCGUGCAAGGACGAAAAUAAUCCAGAUCUCAAUCAUCGUACCAACGCAGCGAAGGUAUCGCACUGUGUGUGUGGAAAAUCCUUUCGGAGAAUACUAAUGGAGCCUGAACGGCACGAACUGAUAACAACUCUGCCGCCAUCCAUCGCGGGUUCAAUCGGAGGUGGAAAUUCGAUCAACUCUCGCGCCACGACAACAAUCGAAGCCCGUGUACAAAGUAUAGCCCCUCUUUCUAUUUCGCAAGUUCAUGAAUUUAUUGAAAACACAUUCUCACAAUCAAAUUCGGCAGAAAGGUGUCUGCGCGUCUUGUCGAAAAAAUAAAUAAAUAACAGAAAUGCUGCCGGAACUGAUAGCGCGAAUUGUGAACGAGCGAAAGUCACAGUCACGUAUCGACUCAAUGCUCGCAAGAGCCGAGCCGUGCCACGUUAUUCAUCUUGACAGGUGUACCAGGUACCUGUAUAGAUUGCGCGUAAAGGUCACGACGCUGUCUGUAAGUGAGCCCGAAAUCCAAUAUACAAUCCCGAGCAGCCAAUCGACCGAACAUCGAGUGCAGAAACCAAGGACCCCGUGGGCAACGUUUGAGAGGAUCUGAUCACCGUGGCGCCUGCAGAGGACGACGGACCAUCCGCCAGCUCUGCUGCUGCCCCACAACCGACUGCCAUCGGUUCGGCCCUUCGUCGGACCUCAUUGGGUAAAAGCACCAAGGAGCGCAAACUGAAGAACAGUUAAUUCCGGGAACAGCUCACGAUGAACCAAGCGGGCGCCAGCUUCAAAUGUAUUUUCCUUUUAAUCGUAAAUAUUCUAAAUAAUUGUUGGACAUUUUUACCGUUUCGCCGUCGCACAUUUUCCUUUGAUUUUCCUUCGAGUGUUAUCCUGGUGGUUCGAGAACCCCCGCAACUAUGUGUCGAUUGGUGGGAGGAAUAUGCUUUACAACGCGUAGCGUAAACGAAACGAAAAAGCACCACCCUUUGAGUGUUAUCGAUGUUGACCAAUUGGAAAGAAAGAGAUUAUUUGUUUUCCACAUCAACAAGUAUUCCUCCACGCACGGUUACUACAGAUUUUAUACGUGAUGAAUCCUUUUACAUAAAUAUAAAACGCUUACUACUGAACAAAAAAGAGAGAUGUACAGCUAUUGAGUCUAACCUAAGGUAAGGUCAUGAAAAUAGUGCACUGUAAAUAAUCGAGAUAUUCAAUAUCAACGUGAAAACAAAACAAAAAGUACAUAAAAUAAACAAUUGUAUAUUUUGAAACGAGGCAAAACGAAAAGUGAUAUAAAAUUAUUUUAAAACGACAAAUUGAGGCUCUCGCCAUAAUUGCAGUUCCAAAAAUUGGAUUGGCAUGAGCAUUGAUUUAAUGAAAUUCUCUUGGUUACUAGAGCCACUCGCAUGGAUUCAGUGCUUGUCACGGGGACUAACUAUUUUCCUUUCGUGUAAAUAAAGUUACAAACUCGGACAGACCUUCCUUGUUGAAUCUUUUCCAUUUCCCAGGCUAUGAUUGCGCUAGACCCAAACCAAACACUAUAAAUUGCGAGAAGUUACAAGGAUUGUAAAUCGAGAACGGUUGCCUUCACUAAAGCGCUUUUUAGUUUUAAGCACAGAAUUCCACCAAAUCCGCAGAACCACAUUAGAGGAACUACCGCAAAAAUGAAAAAAAAAACCUACUCUUGUAACGAACAGAGGGAACACACUUCCGCAAGCACAAAAACUCACGCCCAAACACACACACACAUCCACUCAUAAAACCAACCAACAUGGGACCAACAAAGUACACUUUUUGCGAAUAUUUUCCAUCAUGAUUUAUCUAGUUUUUUUUUUCAUUCUUUCUCCCUCUCUCGUUGUGAUAUGUUCUCCUGCUGAGGUUGAAUCUACAUAUUAAUUGAAGAGUGGAAAAUCGAGAUUGCAAAAGUUUGGCUUUACUAUGGCAACUCAGCGGCUUGGCACGAUGGAAAAUCGUGUAUGGCAUGAAUUACCUCCCCCCCUCCUAAGGAGGCAGCACCUGAUGGUCGUCGCCUCUGUUUUCUCGAUACUGGAGGUUUAAAAAAUAGGCUCGCGGACGUCCGUUUUUCUGUGGAGGAGCAGGAGAAUGGUGAAAUUUUGAAUAUUACUAGUUGAUCGGAAAAAAAAAACUGGUGGCCGGCCAGUGUUCUGACUGCGUCUUCCAUUUCUAUACUGGGGAGUAAGUUCAAAGUUUCGAAAACGGAAGCGUUACGUCGGAGAACGAGAUUUUGAGCGUUAAUAGCUCCUGAAGAACUGAACGGAAUGUUAUAAUAAACACUUCAUUCGAAAGAUAAAAUGUCUACGCGUUAUAUGCUUGUUACUUUUUGAUCCAUGAACUUGUUUCAAUAGCCUUAAAAUUGUUUUCAAAACAGGCUAUUGAAAUCACACCAGUCGGUAUAAAAGCGAGUGUCGGAAGUCCACUCAGUUAUGAUUGCGUAACGAUUGAGGUACCAUCGCUGAAAUGAACUGUCUGACUGUUUCCCUGACACAAACUUCAAAACCAUGGUGCCAUGGGAAAAUCGGCAUUGCAAAACAGAUGCAAUCUGCGGGUACUUUUGUACUCGUUUGCGUUUUUGCAAACCGGAAUGUUUCCCUAACACACACUUUAAACCAUGAAGCCUGGGGAAAUCGGCAUUGCAGAUACAUGAAAGUCGGCAGUACUUUUAUACCCAUAUACAUUUUUACACUCCGGAAAUCGUUUUGCCAAUACGGCCAACAAAAGCGGGUACAAAUGCAACGCUUUGGCUCUGUUCUUCAAGACUGCAUUAGAAAAUAUCCGUUAAUGUCGCCAGCUCAUUGAACUUCUACGCAUACUGUUUGAUGAUUAGGCAAAAUGAUGAUAGCUUUUUGCUGUGAUAACUACACCCAAACUAGCGUUGGCAGGAUACAUGUCAUCUUUGGCAAAAAGAUAGCAUUUCCUGUUCAUGAGAGUCAAAUGCGCAAAUAAUGAGCUAUUUUGAAAGCUUAAAAAUGGUUUGUAUGUAUGCGUGCAGACAUCUCUUUCUGUAUUCUUUUCUCUUUUCAUUUGGGAUUGUGCAAAAAAAAAAGUUCAAUGGGGAUCGAACCAAGGCCGGCUGGAAUCCAAAGUUACUUUACACGACCACGCUAUCCAUUUAGCUGCCAGCGCUAUUAUAAUGGAGCGUGAUAAUAUUACACCUCAUCAUAAAAUUAAGUUGGAAAGUGUUUUCUAAGACGAUAAAGAAGAAUAUGAACGAGAAUAGAUCUUUCUCAGUCUGGGCCGUGUAUUUGGCAAACUAUACGAAAAGCUUUCAUAUGCUUUCAUUUAAAUGUGUCUCCUGUUUCGCUCCCUCAUAUUGGCUCUAGCAUAUAUAUUAUACAAAUGAUAUACAUGUAUUGGGGAGUAGAACAUUUUAUGUUAUCUUUCAGCUCAUUUAAUGUAACAAAUCGGGAUGCCAGAACAUGUGCUAAAAAUAAACUUUGGGUGUACUACUAUAACGCAUGAAUUGACCUAAAUUGGGAUUUGUUUGCAAUUGAAUUCGUAAAUUGUUUCAUUCAUUCAAUGGCUUAAUCAAUAACUUAAUCAAUACACACAAAAGAUGGCUCUGCACAGCGGCGAUAUUGUACCCAAUGAGGAACAUCCGAGGUGCGAUUGUUGCUAAUGGCAGAAAAACAAAUUAUUAUUAAGCCAACGUUAACCUUGCGGUUAUAUCAUAGGCAUAACCCAUCCAUAGUUUUUUUCUCCAUUAUAGUAGCUUUCAACACUUUUGGCUGGUUCGUCACUUUUACUUCCAUUUUUGGAACAAUGUCGGGGAGAUAGAGUUGAACUCGUGAGCUUUGCGUGAGAGGUAUGGAUGUUACCACUACGCCAGAUCGCCUCCACUAAAUCAAGAACAGAAUGUGUGUAUUUUUUUCCAAAACCGUCUGAUUAAUAGACUUAAUUACUUAUUAUCUAACGUUUACAGACCUUAAAUAUAACUUAUUUUCUAUAUAAUUAAGACUAACAAUUUAAUAAUAACUAAAUAUUUGAUUGGACAGGAUUAGGAUUUAGGACUAGACCGGAGCGAGUGGGGUAGUUUGAUUUGAUGAGGAGAGAAGGAAUCAAACAGUAUAAUUUUUUUUUUUUUGAGAAAUUGAUAAAGAGAAAGCAUAAGGUUGAGGUCGCGACUAACCAAGAUGUAUCUAACCGGUAAGUCAGAUUGUCUUCCUUGUGCCCUGCGUGAAUCCGAUAGGUGAGCACUGGCAGAAUGAAGGUUUAUACAAGACCAGACCACAUGCUCGACGUCAUGAUAACCAUCACCACAAACGCAAAUAUUACUAUCGACGAUCCCAAUGCGAUACAGAUGUGCAUCUAACAAGAAAUGAUUGGACAUAAGGUGAGACAUCACGCGAAUAAAGUCCCGACCUACAUUGAAUCCAUUGAACCAUGCAUUUGUCGAUACCUUGGGAAUAAUCGUAUGUAACCAGCGACCCAUAUUAUCUUCACUCCAAUUGUGUUGCCAACUACGAGGAGUGUAAAAAAUAUCAUGAUAGGUUAUUUGUCGUUCAAAAAUGGUGCCUUCCAAGGCCCCGAGCUUAGCUAACGAAUCCGCUUUCUCGUUACCUGGAAUGGAGCAAUAGGCCGGGACCCAGGCUAAUGUAAUCCUAGAAAAUUUUUCCAUCAGUCUAGCCAAGAGCUGUCUUAUUUUCAUAAGAAAAUAACAUGAGGCUCUUACAGGACGGAUAGCUUCAAUUGAGUUGAGGCUAUUUGAAUAGAUAAAAUAGUGAUCAAUCGACAAGGAUUCAAUUUUCUCCAAAGCGUGAUAGAUUGCAGCCAUGUCCGCAACGUAUACCGAGCAUGGAUUUCUCAAUCUAUAAUGGGCACUAAAAUUUUCAUCAAAUAUGCCAAAACCAGUGGAGCCAUUAGUGUAAGAUCCAUCAGUAGAAAAAACAUUCUAUUAGAACUUACUUCGCAAAAUUUCGACGAAAACAUCCGUGUGAUUACUACAAAACGUGUAUGUUCUGGAAUAUCACGUAUUUCUUGAUGCAUGGUUAAAUUUAAUUGUACAGUGGAAUUACAGAAGUACAAUAGACAGUCUUAUGAUGCUGGCGAAGGUUGCAAUCCUUAUGAACGAAACCCAACAUAUAAGGUGGUGAACCUUGAUUCUGGAUUCAAUUGAAGAAGUUCUUUGAAAUUAUCAAUUACCAACGGAUUCAUAAUCUUACAGCGAAUGAGAUAUCUGUAUGAUAAUUCUAUGAAUCGAAGAGUCGGAGGAAGUACUCCAGCCAGAGCCUCAAGACUCCUCGCAUGAGUCGAUUGCAUGCAACCCAAAGCAAUACGCAAGCAACGAUAUUGUAUUCGCUCCAUCUUAAGAAUAUGAGUCUUAGCUGCCGUUCGGAAGCAAACACUACCGUACUCGUGACCGAUAAUAUCGUUGUUUUGUAUAAACUUAUGAGGUCUCCUGGAUGGGCAUCCCACCAUGUUCCAGUUAUUGUCUUGAGGAAGUUGAUUCUCUGUAGACAUUUUUGUUUAAGAGAUGCAAUAUGUCUCCCCAGGUAUAUCUAGGAUCGAAAUAGAUACCAAGAUAUUUGAAAUUCAUAGAGUGGGUUAUUGUUUUGCCGAAUAAAUGAAGCGGAAAUUUUGCGGGUUUGUACUUUUUAGAACAAAAAACACCGCUGUUUUCUCCGUAGAGAAUUCGAUACCCUGCUUGAUGCCCAUGUGGACAAAUUGUCCAAAGUAUCCUGUAAUGGUCUUUGCAGAUCGGCGGAGGAGGAUCCCCUAAUGGGGAUCGUCGUAGCGUGCAAUGUCCCGAAAGGCAAUUGUCGAUAUCAUUAACAUAAAAGUUGUAUAAUAGGGGGCUCAAACAUGAACCUUGUGAUAGGCCCAUAUAGCUUAGUCGGGAGACUGUCAAACUUCCAUGAGCAAAACUCAUGUGUUUUUCUGACAGCAAAUUAUACAAAUAAUAAUUUAAAGUUGGCGAGAGUCCAUAAUUAUGAAGUUCAACUGAUAAUAUAUCAAUAGAAACAGAAUCAAAAGCCCAUUUGAUAUCAAGGAAUAUCGAAGCCAUUUGUUCUUUACGAGCAAACGAUAUUUAUAUAGACGAAAGCAACGGUAGACAAUCAUUCGUUCCUUUACUUCUUCUGAACCCAAACUGUGUAUCUGAAAGCAAAUUGUUGGUUUCAACCUAAACGAAACGAAACGAAACGUCUAAACGAAAAAGAAUCAUUUUCUCCAGAAAUUUACGAAUGCAGGAUAGCAUUGAGAUUGGCCUAUACGAAUUGUGGUCACAGGCCGGCUUGUUAGGUUUUCGUGUGGCUAUAACUCUAACUUGUCUCCAGUCGCGCGGAACAAUGUUCAGCUCUAGGAAUUUGUUGAACAAGUUCAGCAUACGUCUUUUGACAGAAUCGGGAAGACUCUUCAAGAUAUUGAAUUUUAUCUUAUCCACUCCAGGAGCCGAGUUUUUUUUUAUCCCAUUUAUUUAUUUAAGGCUCAUUAGCAUUUUAGCUGUAACAGAGUCGAAUUUUAAUCGUGUACAUGUUACAUGGUUAUCAUAUAUCUAUAAUUAGCACAUUACACAGUUGCCAUUCGCCAGUAUUCCUUCUAUACCAUUACAUAUGGUACAUUCACACAGUAGCCAUUUAGGCGUAAGAGUAUUCUUUCUGUUCUUCCAUUAUCCAGUUGGACCACCGGACAGCGGAGACAGUUGAUUGAUCAUUGUUGAGUUAUUUAUAGAACAGCAGUCCGAUGUGUCUUGCAGAGCAGAGCAGUUGUAUGGAUGAAUCGAUCUUAUUUCGACCGUGGAUCGAUCUCCAUCGCUGAUGAUUGUUACGUGGACGUAGUUAUUCUGUAACAACACAAAGAUGGUCAAAUGAGGGCCCUGAGUUUUGAACUCACGAUCGAUCGCUUACUAAGCCAACGCGCAACCAAUGUGGCUACGGAGACCCCCUGGAGCCGAGUUGUUACACGAAAGAAUUUUUAUUUGCCCAAAUGAAAACUCUACCAUUGAAAAUUUUUAUGUACGCUUUGAAGCGGAAUGUCUUCUACGAUAUUUUGUCCUGGAACGGAAUCUGGGCAAAACUGUAGAUCCAACGAUCAGAGUACUCCUAACUUUCGUUAUUGUGGCUCCGACCCCGGAUUCUUUCCUAUAUUCUGGUUAGAAAAGUGUCCUAUCAUUUAUAAAGUGACGCUUCAUCCGUAAAAAUUUUAAUUAUGCGUCUGUCGUUAUAAAGUUACUGCACAUGUUCGUCUAUAAUAUUUCACAUCACAAGUGGUGAGGAGAAGAAACACUGUUGGCGCGUUUGUGUACAUAUUUUCAUUCGCAUUCGCACUGUCGUAAUUUCAUGCACAACUACAUUUUUCUAAGAUAAUUUAGCUUAACACCAGAUCUACCGUUGUAUAAUUUGCUCCCAAAAUUUUGUCUUGAAAUGUUGUUAAAUACUAGCUGACCCGGCAAACGUUGUUCUGCCAUAUAAAUUAUUUCUAGUGAAUAUUUUGGUUGUGAAAUAAAGAAAUCGUUUUUGAAUGUUUUAACGAUCUGUAAAAUUAAUCGAAUGUGAUCAAUAAAAUAGAACGAAUGAAACGAUUUGAGCGAAAGUGUAUUUGAUGUUUAUGCUGCCAGAAAUGACGGUGCGCAUUGUCAUUCGAUAAACAAACAUGAAACACUCGUGACUCAUCUAUUCUAUCCUUUUGCAUUUUGCAGCGCUAUAUCGUUGCGGAGCAAUUCAGAAAUAUCAGUGCAAACAAGCAUUUCAUAGCGUGUCUUCCCGAGUAUGGUUACGACCCGUUCUUUCAAAAAGAUCACGCGAAUAUCUGGGAAUGGGAUCUGUCACAUACUGAGGAAUGGAGUGCUAUAGACGAUGACCGCCGACGAAAAUAAAAAAAAAUUCAUUGUAUUAAUUCAUAUAUGUAAAGGGUGAAAUGCUAAAGAUAUGUAAGGAAUUGUUACUCGAUUGUAUUUGAAUACUUAAAAAGCGUAGUCUUAACUUAACUAUUUUUCUAAACAACCUCGCAUUUCCGUCAAAACUUUAUUCAUGAUGUAAAAUCAUUAUCAGACACAACUUACGUUCAAGAUUUUUUCUCCAAUUGCAGAUAAUGUGUUACUCUGUUACAUAGAACACAUAUUUGAUACGGGAGCGCGUGUUUGUUACACCCGAAAAUCUACUAUCAUUUUCGCUUCAAAGAAAUGGAACACGAAGCUCAAUGUCGUUUUGACGAAUUGUGUGGCAAAAUUACUGGAAUUCCCGAUGGAAUUAUACUAUUGCUUUCCUCUGGGCGUAUUUUGUCAACUAAUCAAACUAGAAAUGGGUGUAUGAGGCUAUCCUCGCUUUCAUCUUUCAGCCGAAUACAUCCGAAUACGUGUAAUGUUGUAAUAAAACUCAUCAAAGACAUCAUUUUUUGUCUGAACACACGUGCUGUUAUGUCAUGAAAAUGUAUUUCGUUUUAGCCUGGCAAAGGCUGUGUCGACGUUGCUGAUGAUAGCGUCUGGUAAGAGAAUGAACGCUUCGUAUGAAUCGCAGCCGCUCGUUCUCUACUUUCGAUUAAACGUCGAUAAAGAACUGUUGCGACAGCCCACAGUCGUUAUUCAAUACACAUGAAAACCCAUCGAACUAUCGCCACUCUCUUGUUUGUUUCGCCUCUUCUAAUCGCAUGUUCCUAAGUAUUGAUUCAAAAUGAGAAUUGACAUUCAUAAUGAAUGAAGUAAUUGUGGCAAGAUCUCGUUGUUUGAUGUUUAUGCAAUAUCCGUCUUGUCUGUUCCGAACGGCCGGGGAAGUUUUCGUCAAAAAUUUAUAUUUCCGGAUUACAUCUCCUUUCGAAUCACAAUUUUUCGCGUCGUCGAAUACCAUGAUUCCAGUAACGUCUUCAACAGCAUGCGUAGAGGUGUCUAAAUUUUUCGUUUAUUCGAUUAUCGAUUAAUAUUCGAUUCGUUCGAAUAGUUGUCUUUCAGUAUUCGAUUAAUCGAGCGAAUAGUUAUUUCUUGUUCAGGCAAACCUGUUUUUGUUCGAUCGCAUUUUGCGCAAUUCCUCAUUUGUGUGACUGAUUUCGUGCAAUUUUCGAAUACUAUCAUUUUAAUACGGGAUCUUAGACUAUCUCCUUCAAUUCCGCCUUUUACUCCUGCGGUUCUUCAACCGUGAAUGGUUUAGCAUAUUCGAUGAAUUUCGACAAAACACCAUGACGGUUUAACAAAUUUUGCACUGUAUUUUUUUUAUAAAAUGGUUCCCUUUUUCAUAAAUCGCGAUUACUGUGAUAAUUAUUCGAUGUAUUCAUAUUUGGUUUUUCAUAAUUCGAUACAAAAUUACCCGAUUAAAAUUGAAGAUAUUCGUUAUUUGAAUCAAUCGAACGAUUAACCGACGUCUCUAAGCAUGCGCAUUCGAUCCAUAGCGUGAUAAUCGUUUUGCAAUCCGAGCAUGUGUGAUUUGAAGAAUUUUCAAUAACUCAUUGUCAAAAAGGCCUCCAGCUCGCCGUCAAUGCACCUGGCUUUAGGCGAAUUGAAGAUGGAAUGUGUGGAUGAUGGUUUGAAGAAGCAGAUGCAGCGCCAUCUGUCAUUUAACAACGUAUAGAAAUUCGUUAUGAUUGAAAAACAAACGACGAUUGAACUAAAUGAAUAUUUUUCAUACAUAAAUACUGAAAUCGCAAUUAAAAAUAGGAGAUCGUGGUGAAAAUUUCGGGUUAUUUGUAUUUCUGAAGCCAAAUUAAAUAAAAAAAAUGAUUCAGAAUUUUUUGUUCUGCAUAGAACCACCCUAAUCGGAAUUAAAUGUAAAGUAAUCGGUAUCCUAGGUGUAUCAAAUAAAUUGUACGACUCAUGUCUAUCGAGCUUUUUGUGCAUAAUUUCACAGAAAUCUGUCGAGCCGUUUCGAAGGAGUUCGACCACGAACAUCGUGACACGAGUUUUUAUCUACAUAUAGAUUUUGUAAUUGUUAUGACUUUUUCUCAAUAAAGUUUAUUUUCUUUGAAAUUUUUAUAUUUUGAGAACUAAAUAUCACACUGGUCAAAAUCAUCGGUUUGCUGAAAAUAGGUAUAUAAAAACUGUUGGUACCACUAGUAGGAAUGACGUAAUAAAGUAGCAUUUAUAGCGAGAUCUUUAUUUUCAAUGAUUUAGGGUGAAGUUAGCGAACCAAAAGCCCAUCAAUCGAUGACAAUUGGUCACAAACGAUUCCCCAUCUCUUUUCGAGAACUUUUGAUUUUGUAUUUGUAUAUAUUCCACCACACAGACUAUCCUAUCGAGAUCCACUCCACUAGGUUAUGGGGUAUUUCCCCAACAAUAAAUCUUGAACCGUCAUCAAACCCCUCGGUCCCAAUCUCAAUUAUUGGCAUCCACAUCGGUUCAUCCGUUCCGAUGUAUACGUCGAAAACCAACGGUUGGCGGACCACAGAGCACAUUUAAUGUUUCAGAAAACUUCUCCACGAACUCCAAGAACUAACGCAACAAUGUAUAUUGCCAAAAAAAGCAGAAAAGUUGACCGACCACACGAUCCCAAAACUGUUUGACAACAAUAUUUCACGCCAGCUCUAUAACUCUUCCUAUAACACAAAACACACAUCUGUUCACACGCCAUGGCAAUGCCCACGGCUUGGAAGCAGAUUGAUCUAAUCCACCCACCCUAUCAGCAUCUCUCAGGACUUCGCUAAAUGUUAGCGCAAUCCUCUCCGCUCCGACACAGGGGGGUUUGGUUUGGAAAAUUCAGCAUCAAUAGGGAAAGUUGUUCUUGUCAGUUCCAUGAGCUUCUAUUGCUCCGCUGGUGGCUGCACGAAGCGACCACCUUAGCGAAAGAGUCACCUCAAUCGUAAUCAAAUUGUCACGCCAGCAACGCCAGCUGGGUAAGCCAUCCUUACCACAACAGGCGGCGCACUUCGAACUCAAUCCGUCGCACAACAUCGAUCCCAGCAGCUGGAAAACAUGAUCGCAUUUUCUUCUUUCGCUCAAAACACGUUCUGUAUUUACGUUUCUUUUUGUUUGUGUGAGUUAUUUUUUUUUCUUGUUAUAAAUUUCCCGCCAUCAAUCGGAUUCAUUCUGCAUCAUGUUUGUUUCCCUCUUCUUUCAUUCCCCUUCCAUUUCCUCGCUUUCGUGGAUUUUUUAAACCUCUUCAUUAGCGCAAUCAAUGGGCCGGGAAAUUAAUACAAACAGUACUGUAAAAAGGCACAUCCUGCAAAAAAAAAUAAUGCAAGCAUUUAAUGGCCCUUGGGCCAUAAAAGCAAGAAACGGAAAAAGAAACUUGGCACAAUGAAAUAAAAUCGAAAGAGCCAAUGGCUUUGGUCGGGGGAAAGUAAGGCUGUUCGAAGCGUGCUCUCAUUUCUUCUCAUAGAAAUCUCACGAACUGACGCGUAGGAACAGUGAAAAAUAAACUGAAACAACAAACAAAAACAAAAAAUGCCAAAAACAUAACCUGUCGACGGUCGAUUUACCAGCGGGGGAACAGGUGUCCUGCAAUUUCGUUGCCGAACGGAACAUUAAGAAACAACGUGAAAUGACAUGCGUUAAUGCAAAGCCGUUUUUUCUGUACCACCCACCAGAGCCCCGUUUACCGACUCGACGAUGUGCGAAACGAUGAUUUAGAGUAACGAUUAUGAUACAUGAAGACACACUUUUCUCCCGCGGGUUCCCGCUUUCUAUGUAAGGCGGGGGUAACGGUUGAGAUUUGAGAUGGGAUGCGGUUGUCUUACCGGAUUGGAAGGGAUUGUUUUGUUUCGUUUAGAAGGUAAUGCUGUCCCGAAGCUGGUGAGCACUCACGGGGAAAUGAUCGCUAACACGAGGAUGAUUCCACUGAUUUGUCGGUGUUCCGUUAACAAAAUGGGCGAGAGUUGAUGUGAAUACUGGAAUGAGGGUCUAUACUGGAACGCCGCUCUGGGAAUCAGUAAUCUGUGGCAGUGAGGUUUAUCAUUAUUUAUUUUUAAAACUACGGCAUCAACUUUUGUUUCAACACCGUCAACGCUUAAAAGCGUCAAAACGUAAACUGGGCGAUGAACAGGCAAUAGGGCGAGAUAGGCAAUUUGAGAUGUUUUGUUCAAUGUAGAGAAAUACUCAGUUUUGAAAAUAAAUAUAGUUUUUUUGAAAUCAUAGAAUUACAAGUUCGAGUGACGAGAAACUAUAAGCAAGUAGUGACAAGACUUCUUCCUCCAACGGAUGACUACAAUUAUACAGGGUGGGCCAUUUAAAGUGGAAGCAUCUGGCAACCCCAUAACUUUUGACAGAGAUGUCAGAUUAAUAAAUUUCAUACCGCGUUGGAAGCGUCAUUUCAGUACAAUUUUAACCAUGGAACAAUACACACCUAAACAACGCGCUGAAAUUGUUCAACUGUACAUUCAAAAUAACUUCUCAAUUGUGUUAACUAAACGUGCGUGGAAAAAUAAAAAUAAAGUUAAAACAUCGCCUGGAGACAACACUAUACGUCGAUUAUAUGCCAAAUUUAUAUCGUCUAGUAGUGUUGGUAAUGCCAGUCAUCUGUCCAGACAACGACCAAGACGUUUCGACGAGAAUAUUGGAACAACAGUAACCGUGAAUGGGGAGCGUUAUCGGACAAUGAUAACCGAUUUUUAUUGCCAUUUGUUCGUGAAAAUGAAUUGGACAAUUUCUGGUUCCAACAGGACGGCGCUACAUGCCAUACAGCGGCUGCCACGACCAAAUUAUUGCGCGAAAUGUUCCCCGGAAGAUUAAUAUCGAAAAACGGUGAUUAUGACUGGCCACCGAGAUCACCUAAUUUGACGCCUCUUGACUUUUUUUUAUGGGGAUAUUUGAAAUCCAAGGUAUACACUGGUAAACCAAGGACCCUGGCUGCGCUGAAAGACAAUAUCCGACAAGAAAUUGUUGCCAUAUCGGCCGAAACAUUGGGCAAAGUGAUGGAAAAUGCCGAAAAAAGGGCACAUUUUGCGGUCAAGGCCAGAGGCGGUCAUUUACGAGAUAUCAUAAUCAAAAAGUAGUUAGAACAAAUCUCCUUGGACCAAAAUAAAUGAAUUUCAAAAAAAAAAUUUAAAUUCCACUUCUUUACUUUGUUAUUUAGUUUUACACGACCACGCUAUCCACAUGGCUAAUGAUGCUGUUCAGCAAAUGCGUGAUAAUAUUGCACCUGAUUAUAGAAUAAAUUUGGAAAGUGUUUUCUAAGGCGCCUCGCACACCGGAGCAAUAAGCAACUAGCAACUAUCAACAUGCAAUAAGCAAUAUUAUCGCCAAUGGAUUUUUCCAUUUAAUCUUUGUUGAUCUCGCAUACCGACGCAAUACGAUAUCGCUGUCGCCUUUACAGAGCAACACAUGUCGCUAGCAACACGGCGUGUCGGUUGAAGAGCAACUUAUCGCCCAUAUUUUGACAAGUUUCGUACAUUAAGCCGAUUGUUUGCAUAAUGUCGGGGGUUUUUAUUGCUCUGGUAUGCGAAGAACAACAAAAUAUGUUUCCUGUUGCAUAUUGCGUAUUGCAGUUUGCUAGUUGUUUAUUGCUCCGGUGUGCGA